GACGAACGCUGGCGACGUGCUUAACACAUGCAAGUCGAACGGAAAGGCCCUGCUUUCUUGGGGUGACGGGUUGCCGAACGGGUGAGUAACAGGUAAGUAACCUGCCCUUGUUUUUGGUAUAACUUCAGGAAACUGGGGUUACUCCCGGAUCGCAUCCCCCCUUCCAUGGUGGGGAUUGGAACGUUUGGGCGGUUGGGGUUGGAUGGGCGGCUGACCGGUUUGUUGGUUGGGUAGUGGCUGACCAAGGCUUGGAAGGGUAGCCGGCCUGAGAGGGUGACCGGGCACAAUGGGACUGAGAGACGGACCAGAGUCCUACGGGAGGCAGCAGUGGGGAAUAUUGCACAAUGGGAGGAAGCCUGAGGAAGAAACGCCGCGGGCGGGAUGACGGCCUUCGGGUUGUAAACCGCUUUCGGCUGUGACGAAGCGGGAGUGACGGUAAUGGGUAAAGAAGCACCGGCUAACUACGUG
Molecule: ribosomal RNA, 468 nt
Filed under: uncultured bacterium
Lineage: Bacteria
Description: partial 16S ribosomal RNA
Rfam family: Bacterial small subunit ribosomal RNA
Source: RNAcentral